GCUUCCUAGGGAGGGAGGCUGGGGCGGCAAGGCGGGCGCGGGUGGUCCUUGCCCCGCGCCAGCUCGCCAGGCCACGUCGCUGGCGUUUUUCCAGCGCUGGGUCACCUGCGGGCCGGCGGGUUCCCGCGGCGAACAGCUGGGUGGUAUGGAUACGCCGCUCGAGCCUCCGCAGCGUCAGGUCGCCAGGGUCCGCCCUGCCACUCGCCCCACCUUGAGCUACCUCUGAAGAAAAGAUGAUGGCCCGGUGCGGUGGCUCACGCCUGUAAUCCCAGCACUUUGGGAGGCCGAGUCAGGCGGAUCACCUGAGCAGUGUAAAGAAAGUCUGAAGAAUACUCCAGGAAAAUUGAGGAAACUAAAGCUAUUUCUACUACUGGUCUCAUAAUUGCAAAGCCAGUGCCUACCAUGAUAAGUGCUCUCUUACUUGGUAUGAAGGAAAUGAUUUUCUUCCCUUGCUAUUUUUUUUAGUAAGUAUAUUAUUUUAUUGCUACAUUAGAAAUGAAAAUACACUCUGAGAAGCUGCAAAGGCAUGCAACUUCAUAAAGAUUAUGAAGCAAUGGAGACACUCAUAGAAGGUUAAAAUUGGCUUUUCCUGUAGGAGGUGCAAAGACUAUACACACACAGGUCAUCAAUGGUUAGAUUAUUGGCAGCAUCUGCCAUGUGGAAUUUAUGUGCCAAUGGGAAGAUUUUUGGUGUUUUGCUUUGUUUUGUUUUGUUUUGAGACGGAGUCUUAUUCUGUCACCCAGGCUAGAAUACAGUGGCAUGAUCUUGGCUCACUACAACCUCCGCCUCCCGGGUUCAAGUGAUUCACCCGCCUGAGACUUCCAUGUAGCUGGGAUUGCAGGCAUACACCACCAUGCCUAAUUCAUUUUUUUCUUUGUUUGUUUGAGAUGGAGUCUCACUCUGUCACCCAGGCUGGAGUGCAGUGUCAUGAUCUCAGCUCACUGCAACCUCCGCCUCCCGGGUUCAAGCGAUUCUCCUGCCUCAGUCUCCCGAGUAGCUGUGACUACAGACAUGUGCCACCACACCUGGCUAAUUUUUGUAUUUUUAAUAGAGACAGGGCUUAGCCAUGUUGGCCAGGGUGGUCUCGAACUCCUGACCUCAGGUGAUCCACCCACCUCAGCCUACCAAAGAUUACAGACGUGAGCCAUCAUGCCCAGCCCCCAUUAUAUGAUGUUUGAACACCGUAUUUCUCCUGCUGGAUAGUUUCCUUGGAAGAAAGCCUAUUUUUUUCUCCAGUGUU
RNAcentral lists this long non-coding RNA (1240 nucleotides) under Homo sapiens (human). Its description in RNAcentral is "non-protein coding lnc-MTO1-1:4". The record is from RNAcentral. Lineage: Eukaryota; Metazoa; Chordata; Mammalia; Primates; Hominidae.